RNAcentral lists this long non-coding RNA (1683 nucleotides) under Heterocephalus glaber (naked mole-rat). RNAcentral's name for it is "lncRNA (ENSHGLG00000047407.1)". Lineage: Eukaryota; Metazoa; Chordata; Mammalia; Rodentia; Bathyergidae. The record is from RNAcentral.
CAAGCUUCUUGCCCGACCUCAACGCCAACGCCGCAGCCUGGAUAUCCCCCCCUAGUGGACGAACCCCUCCCCCGGGGAAAGUGGGGUGUGCACCCAGACGCUUCUGGGUGCGGGAUGCUGGGCGCCAGGGGCUGUGAGUUAGGCAGGAGCUGCAGGGAGGCAGUCAAGUCUGGAGUCAUCAGUGGAGGUCACCUGUGCUUGGGCGGAGGAAGAGGAAUACACAAGACUCCUGGGGGAGGGACAGGGACAACUUCCGGUGCCCAGGUUGGAGAAGAGAAGCCACCUCCCCGUGAUUAGAGGGAGGCAGCAGUCAGAUGAGGUCAGGCUGAGGUGAGGGUCUUGGGGAAACAAGAGACUUAAGCUGUGGGGAUGGACAGGAAGGGGUCAGAGGUCAAGACGUGGGGGCAGGGAUGAAGAGGUCCUUAGCAAUGCAAAGCCCAGUACCUCCCAUGUGCUGGAAGUUAAUAUACUCUAUGAUCUUGCCCCCCCCCCCUUUAUGGUGCUGAGGAUUGAACCCAGGGCCUUGCAACUAUAAGUACUCUACCCCCGAGCUACAACCCCGUCCUUUAAAUUUUUUGAUUUUUAUUUUUUGAGACAGCUUCUCACUAUGUAGUUCAAGCUGGCCUUGAACUCACUAUGUAGCAUAGGUGGGCUUUGAACUCGUGGCAGUCUUCCUACUUCAGCCUCCCAAAUUCUGGAAUUACAGACAUGUGCCACCAUAUCCAGCUUUAAAAAAAUUUUUUGGGGGGCUGAGGAUUUACCUCAGUGGUUCUGGUGCCUGCCUUGCAAGUGAAAGGUCCUGAGUUUGAUCCCCCCAGUACCAAAAAAAAAAAUUUUUUUUUGAGACAAGGUCUCACUAAGUUGCCCAGGCUGACCUCAGACUUAAUCCUCCUGCCUUAGCCUUCCAUGUAGCUAGGAUUACAGUUGUGUGUCACCAUGGCCUGAAGCAAUGAGGCCACAGCCCCAGGCCCUGGAGAUCUGGUGGUGAGCAAAGGGAGAACCUUCCAUCACAGCUUCACAAUCUAGAGCACAGAUUGGUAAUAGGGCUCUAAGCUUCCAGCCAGCUGUUUUUGUAAAUAAAACUUUAUUGGGACACAAAUCAUGUUAAGCUACAACACAGCAGAGUAAUUGUGACUGAGGCCAUAUGGUUCCUAUAGCCAAAAAGUGUUUACUAUUUAGUGCUGUACAGGAAAAGUCAGCCAAGCUCUAAUUGGAGGAAGAAGGGGGAAACAAACAAAAAGGAGCAACAAGGCAAGUCCUGAGGUGCUGAAGUGGUCUCUUAAAGAAACAGCCACUGUGGCUGGGGCUGAGCAAGCCAGGGAAGAGGGGUACCGAGGGAGUGGGGAACAAGACCAUGGCCAUGAAGAUGCUGGGAUUGAUCACAAAUGUGAUGGGAAGCUUAUCUGAGCAAAUGUCCACAGACUUCUCCCUUUAGAAACAAACACACCCUGAAGAAGCCUAAGGAGAAGCUGUAGGGGAACCUGGGGGCCCCCCAGGAUGCCUGGCCAAGCCCCCAUGUCCCACACAGUCCAGGGAGGAGAAGGCUUCGGCUCCCGUCCAGAGUCUGUGCCCCCCUUUCCAUGACCCUCACAGUCCUCCAUUGUCAUCUCCUCCCCCCCAGCUCUUCCCCUGCUUGUUCCCACUCCCUGUGGCCCUGAUGUCCCACCCCUAGGUCUGAGGGGC